Molecule: non-coding RNA, 953 nt
Filed under: Dictyocaulus viviparus (bovine lungworm)
Lineage: Eukaryota; Metazoa; Nematoda; Chromadorea; Rhabditida; Metastrongylidae
Description: Eukaryotic large subunit ribosomal RNA
Rfam family: Eukaryotic large subunit ribosomal RNA (bases 1-759)
Source: Rfam by way of RNAcentral
UUAUCGACUCCGAAAGAAUGGAGGGCUUGGUUGGCUCUCGGAGUGGUAUCAAAUCUCACAUGUGCCCUCGUGUCACAUAGGCACCUCUGCGCCACUCAACCCCAUUUUAUUCAAUAUCAAGAAAACUCGAUUUCAGUUUUUUAUCACGUGUGUCAAGAGCAGUAACCUGAUCGCCAUACGACUCUCGCCGAAAACAGUUCCAGUCAAAUAGUUGUUGGUACUGCACUUCGAUCAUUCGUCAAGGUGUAAUUUAGGUGUUUUAAGUUUGUUCAUAAAGAGCGAAAACCUGUGUUCGAGUGAAAGGUUAGAAGCUUGCUUUAUCUUGAUUUUUAAAGCGAGUACACACAGUGAAAGUAUAGCCUACCGAUUCUUUUCAUCUAGAUGGUUUUUGGCAAGAAGUGUUAGAAAAGUUACUACAUAGAUAACUUGCUUGUAGCUUAUUAAGUGUCAAUAGUGACGUUGCUUUAUGAUUCUUUGAUGUCGGUUCUUCUUAUCAUUGUAAAGCAAAAUUCGUUAGGUGUUGGAUUGUGUCCUCAACGGAUUUUGACCGAUAUGAAACUAGUCCUUUGCUCGCUUUGCCUUACUGUUAAUAAAUUGUUAAUCUAGAUAGCAAUCUUGCUUAGUACGGAGCAAACAGCAAAUUUAGACAUAUGGUUGGCAGACUUUAGGGAUCGGCUAAUAGUUUGAAGCUGACGUUUGAAUGAUAAUAAGUGAACGCCUCCAAGCCAGAAUCACACAUAGUAAAGAAAACAAUAUCGUUGUUUUCCAAUAUCUAUAGAUCUCCCAACAUCUAUAUUUAUGGAAUAUCUACUGAAUGGUUUAACAUAAAUAAUGUACCAAUCCACAUUCCUCCAUUCAUAUUGGCUGGAUUAGAAGUAGCUGUUGGGCACUCUAGUGGCGUGUAGUUGAUAGUAAUAUUAAGCUGCUGUAAAAUUUGGGAUAUAACAGCAUCC